This 110-nucleotide ribosomal RNA is filed under the name Jaculus jaculus (lesser Egyptian jerboa). The record is from RNAcentral. Lineage: Eukaryota; Metazoa; Chordata; Mammalia; Rodentia; Dipodidae.
GUCUAUAGUCAUACCACCCUGAACGUGCCCUAUCUCAUCUACUCUUGGAAGCUAAGCAGGGUUGGGCCUGGUCAGCACUCGGAUGGGAGAAAUAUAUAUAAAUAUGGCUU